Molecule: non-coding RNA, 30 nt
Filed under: Mus musculus (house mouse)
Lineage: Eukaryota; Metazoa; Chordata; Mammalia; Rodentia; Muridae
Source: RNAcentral
UNGCUUCUACAACUUGAAGAGUGUUGUCGG